UACGGGGGGUGCAAGCGUUAAUCGGAAUUACUGGGCGUAAAGCGUGCGUAGGCGGUUGGGUCAGUCAGCCGUGAAAGCCCCGGGCUUAACCUGGGAACGGCGGUUGAGACGGCCCGACUCGAGUGGGCUAGAGGAUCGUGGAAUUCCCGGUGUAGCGGUGAAAUGCGUAGAGAUCGGGAGGAACACCGAUGGCGAAGGCAGCGGUCUGGGGCCACACUGACGCUGAGGCACGACAGCGUGGGGAGCAAACAGG
This 253-nucleotide ribosomal RNA is filed under the name uncultured bacterium. RNAcentral's name for it is "partial 16S ribosomal RNA". It matches the Rfam family "Bacterial small subunit ribosomal RNA", at positions 524 to 776 of the family's 1533-position model. The record is from RNAcentral.